AUUCGUCAGCUGGGAUAUCAGAUUCUGACAUGGACAGAAAAGAGAAGUCUUGUUGAAAUCUAGAACUGUCUACACCUCCUCAGAAACAAAGAUAACCACUAUUGGAAGGGACAUCUAGACUACAGUCUUUAAGACCACCUGCACAU
This is a long non-coding RNA of Protopterus annectens (West African lungfish), 146 nucleotides long. RefSeq lists it as uncharacterized. The transcript has 3 exons. The record is from RefSeq and is a predicted model, not a curated record. Lineage: Eukaryota; Metazoa; Chordata; Ceratodontiformes; Protopteridae.